Molecule: ribosomal RNA, 372 nt
Filed under: uncultured Glomeromycotina
Lineage: Eukaryota; Fungi; Glomeromycota
Description: LSU rRNA
Source: RNAcentral
UUGAAAGGGAAACGAUUGAAGUCAGUCGUACCGACGAAGGAUCAACUUUUGGAAUGCGAAUUGGGGUAUUCGAGGAGUUUAAAAGCCUUCGUGUGCUCAUGUAUUCGUGCUUCUUGGGUGCACUUCUUCGUAUUGGUAGGUUAACAUCAAUUUUGGACGUUACAAAAUGAUCGGGGGAAUGUAGCUUCGAUUUUUUCGAAGUGUUAUAGACCUUGGUAGAUGUGACGACCGGGAUUGAGGAUUGCAACGAAUGCUUUCGGGCUAUCCGUCUGACCUCUGGUGGUUGCUUUAGGGUCGAAAGCGUGCUUACGACUUUAAAGUUGGCUAUCAAAAGGCUAGAACGUGAUUAAAUUCGUUAAGGAUGUUGACGUA